AGAAGCGACACCUGCUGGAGUGUAGGACCAAAGAGCUGCACUGGAGAACAGAUUUACUAAAGAUCAACUUUAGAAAUUUACACUUUGCAGCAGCUCAGAAGACAAAUAAGGUCAGAAGCAGCACAGAUGAACAUAGAAAGCUGAUUCCUGCCUGCUGAGUUGCCUGGGUUCCUUCGUCUGCUGGUUUUCCGUCCAACCACAGAUUCUGCCUUCUUCUCCGGAGGAUCUCCACCUGUCGCCAGCUUAACCUGGGAACAUCAACGUACACCUGGGAAGAAGAAUUUCUCUGGAAACAUCUGCCACGACCGGGUUCUACUGACACCAACUUACCAAGCACAUGGUGAACAACGGGAGGGAGAGUUCUGGAUGAAGCCAAACCAAAAGGACUGUUCUCAGCUCAUCAGCUAAGUCUCCAAGCCCUAGUAUCACCAGACUAUUUGUAUUGUUAAUAUGUCGAAUUAAAUAAUCAGCGUGCCGUAUUUAACUUAAUGUAUUUUAUGCUCUGCAUAGGAUAUUUUUAGUCUGGGGUUUCAGCUCAUAAUUACUGGUAGUCUAGGCUGGAUUAGUUUAGUAUUUUCAGUUGUUUCCCUGCCUUGGUGUUAUCAUAUGUGGGUUAACCUUAGUUUCAGUUUCCAUGUUCCUGUAGUUAUUCCUCUGUGCUUCUAGAUGGUUUUUGUUUUUUAGUUCUAGUAGUAGUUUAGUUUUUCUAGUUCCGGUUCCUGUGUAGAGUUUCUUUUUGUGAAUAAAAGCGUUUUUAAAACGUU
Long non-coding RNA from Amphiprion ocellaris (clown anemonefish), 764 nucleotides. RefSeq lists it as uncharacterized. NCBI's taxonomy places the organism in Eukaryota, Metazoa, Chordata, Actinopteri, Pomacentridae. The transcript has 2 exons. The record is from RefSeq and is a predicted model, not a curated record.